UCUUACUUCAUUAGCAAUAUAUUAAAAUUGGAACUUUACAGAGAUUAGCACAUCCCCUGUUCAAAUAUGACAUGCAAAUUCAUGAGGCUUUCCAUAUUUUU
Molecule: small nuclear RNA, 101 nt
Filed under: Jaculus jaculus (lesser Egyptian jerboa)
Lineage: Eukaryota; Metazoa; Chordata; Mammalia; Rodentia; Dipodidae
Source: RNAcentral